UACGGAGGGUGCGAGCGUUGUCCGGAAUCACUGGGCGUAAAGGGCGCGUAGGUGGCGCGGGUAGUCAUCGGUGAAAGCUCAGGGCUCAACCCUGAGUCGGCCGGUGAUACUCCCGUGCUUGAGUGUGGUAGAGGCCAAUGGAAUUCCGGGUGUAGCGGUGGAAUGCGUAGAGAUCGGAAAGAACACCAACGGCGAAAGCACUCUGCUGGGCCGACACUGACACUGAGAGACGAAAGCUAGGGGAGCGAAUGGG
RNAcentral lists this ribosomal RNA (253 nucleotides) under uncultured bacterium. RNAcentral describes it as "partial 16S ribosomal RNA". It matches the Rfam family "Bacterial small subunit ribosomal RNA", at positions 524 to 776 of the family's 1533-position model. The record is from RNAcentral.